Molecule: ribosomal RNA, 448 nt
Filed under: uncultured bacterium
Lineage: Bacteria
Description: bacterial SSU rRNA
Rfam family: Bacterial small subunit ribosomal RNA
Source: RNAcentral
UCGAGAAUUUUUCUCAAUGGGGGAAACCCUGAAGGAGCGACGCCGCGUGGGGGAUGAAGGACUUCGGUUCGUAAACCCCUGUCACCUGGGAACAAAACCUGCAACCUAACACGUUGCAGGCUGAUAGUACCAGGAGAGGAAGGCACGGCUAACUCUGUGCCAGCAGCCGCGGUAAUACAGAGGUGCCAAGCGUUGUUCGGAUUUAUUGGGCGUAAAGGGUGCGUAGGUGGUGAUGCAAGUCGGGUGUGAAAUCCCGGAGCCUAACUCCGGAAUGGCAUUCGAAACUGCAUCGCUCGAGGUCUGGAGAGGUGACUGGAAUUCUCGGUGUAGCAGUGAAAUGCGUAGAUAUCGAGAGGAACACCAGAGGCGAAAGCGAGUCACUGGACAGAACCUGACACUGAGGCACGAAAGCCAGGGGAGCAAACGGGAUUAGAUACCCCCGUAGUCC